RNAcentral lists this ribosomal RNA (740 nucleotides) under uncultured organism. Its description in RNAcentral is "bacterial SSU rRNA". It matches the Rfam family "Bacterial small subunit ribosomal RNA", at positions 239 to 970 of the family's 1533-position model. The record is from RNAcentral.
UAUCAGUUAGUUGGUGAGGUAACGGCUCACCAAGGCGACGACGGGUAGCUGGUCUGAGAGGAUGAUCAGUCACACUGGAACUGAGACACGGUCCAGACACCUACGGGUGGCAGCAGUCGAGAAUAAUUCACAAUGGACGAAAGUCUGAUGGUGCAACGCCGCGUGGAGGAUGACGGUCUUCGGAUUGUAAACUCCUGUCAUCGGGGAGUAAGACCUGGCUGUGAAUAGCAGACAGGGUUGAUAGUACCCGAAGAGGAAGGGACGGCUAACUUCGUGCCAGCAGCCGCGGUAAUACGAAGGUCCCGAGCGUUGUUCGGAAUCACUGGGCGUAAAGGGAGCGUAGGCGGCAGGGUAAGUCAGAUGUGAAAUCCCGGGGCUCAACCCCGGAACGGCAUCCGAUACUGCCCUGCUUGAGUAAUGGAGGGGUAGCUGGAAUUCUCGGUGUAGCAGUGAAAUGCGUGGAUAUCGAGAGGAACACUCGUGGCGAAAGCGAGCUACUGGACAUUGACUGACGCUGAGGCUCGAAGGCCAGGGUAGCGAAAGGGAUUAGAUACCCCUGUAGUCCUGGCAGUAAACGGUGUGCGCUUGGUGUGAGGGGUUUCGACCCCCCUUGUGCCGGAGCUAACGCGUUAAGCGCACCGCCUUGGGAAGUACGGUCGCAAGACUAAACUCAAAGAAAUUGACGGGGACCCGCACAAGCGGUGGAGUAUGUGGCUUAAUUCGAUGCAACGCGAAGAACC